RNAcentral lists this ribosomal RNA (501 nucleotides) under uncultured bacterium. RNAcentral describes it as "partial 16S ribosomal RNA". It matches the Rfam family "Bacterial small subunit ribosomal RNA", at positions 30 to 523 of the family's 1533-position model. The record is from RNAcentral.
AUUGAACGCUGGCGGCAUGCCUUACACAUGCAAGUCGAACGGCAGCACGGGUGCUUGCACCUGGUGGCGAGUGGCGAACGGGUGAGUAAUAUAUCGGAACGUACCUUAUUGUGGGGGAUAACGCAGCGAAAGCUGUGCUAAUACCGCAUAAUCCCUAAGGGGGAAAGCGGGGGACCGUAAGGCCUCGCGCAAUUAGAGCGGCCGAUACCUGAUUAGCUAGUUGGUGAGGUAAAGGCUCACCAAGGCAACGAUCAGAAGCUGGUCUGAGAGGACGAUCAGCCACACUGGGACUGAGACACGGCCCAGACUCCUACGGGAGGCAGCAGUGGGGAAGUUUGGACAAUGGGGGCAACCCUGAUCCAGCAAUGCCGCGUGAGUGAAGAAGGCCUUCGGGUUGUAAAGCUCUUUUGUCAGGGAAGAAACAGCAGCUCUAACACAGUUUGCGAAUGACGGUACCUGAAGAAUAAGCACCGGCUAACUACGUGCCAGCAGCCGCAGUAA